RNAcentral lists this ribosomal RNA (437 nucleotides) under uncultured bacterium. RNAcentral describes it as "bacterial SSU rRNA". It matches the Rfam family "Bacterial small subunit ribosomal RNA", at positions 958 to 1398 of the family's 1533-position model. The record is from RNAcentral.
AACGCGAAGAACCUUACCUGGGCUCGAACGGCUUAGGAACAGCUGUGGAAACACGGCCUUCCCGCAAGGGACCUGAGUCGAGGUGCUGCAUGGCUGUCGUCAGCUCGUGUCGUGAGAUGUUGGGUUAAGUCCCGCAACGAGCGCAACCCUUGUCCUGUGUUGCAACUAAUAGGCACUCUCAGGAGACCGCCAGCGAUAAGUUGGAGGAAGGUGGGGAUGACGUCAAGUCAUCAUGGCCUUUAUGUCCAGGGCUACACACGUGCUACAAUGGGCGGUACAAAGCGCUGCCAACCCGCGAGGGGGAGCUAAUCGCAAAAAACCGUCCUCAGUUCGGAUCGCAGGCUGCAACUCGCCUGCGUGAAGCUGGAAUCGCUAGUAAUGCUAUAUCAGAACGAUAGCGUGAAUACGUUCCCGGGCCUUGUACACACCGAGACGUA